This 390-nucleotide ribosomal RNA is filed under the name Salmonella enterica subsp. enterica serovar Rubislaw. Its description in RNAcentral is "partial 23S ribosomal RNA". It matches the Rfam family "Bacterial large subunit ribosomal RNA", at positions 711 to 1098 of the family's 2925-position model. Lineage: Bacteria; Pseudomonadati; Pseudomonadota; Gammaproteobacteria; Enterobacterales; Enterobacteriaceae. The record is from RNAcentral. RNAcentral also lists the same sequence under 2 other names.
AGACCCGAAACCCGGUGAUCUAGCCAUGGGCAGGUUGAAGGUUGGGUAACACUAACUGGAGGACCGAACCGACUAAUGUUGAAAAAUUAGCGGAUGACCUGUGGCUGGGGGUGAAAGGCCAAUCAAACCGGGAGAUAGCUGGUUCUCCCCGAAAGCUAUUUAGGUAGCGCCUCGUGAAUUCAUCUCCGGGGGUAGAGCACUGUUUCGGCUAGGGGGCCAUCCCGGCUUACCAACCCGAUGCAAACUGCGAAUACCGGAGAAUGUUAUCACGGGAGACACACGGCGGGUGCUAACGUCCGUCGUGAAGAGGGAAACAACCCAGACCGCCAGCUAAGGUCCCAAAGUCAUGGUUAAGUGGGAAACGAUGUGGGAAGGCCCAGACAGCCAGGA